This 294-nucleotide ribosomal RNA is filed under the name uncultured fungus. RNAcentral's name for it is "partial 18S ribosomal RNA". It matches the Rfam family "Eukaryotic small subunit ribosomal RNA", at positions 73 to 370 of the family's 1831-position model. The record is from RNAcentral. Lineage: Eukaryota; Fungi.
UUUGUACUGUGAAACUGCGAAUGGCUCAUUAAAUCAGUUAUCGUUUAUUUGAUAGUACCUUACUACAUGGAUACCUGUGGUAAUUCUAGAGCUAAUACAUGCUAAAAACCUCGACUUCGGAAGGGGUGUAUUUAUUAGAUAAAAAACCAAUGCCCUUCGGGGCUCCUUGGUGAAUCAUAAUAACUUAGCGAAUCGCAUGGCCUUGCGCCGGCGAUGGUUCAUUCAAAUUUCUGCCCUAUCAACUUUCGAUGGUAGGAUAGUGGCCUACCAUGGUGGCAACGGGUAACGGGGAAU